Molecule: ribosomal RNA, 253 nt
Filed under: uncultured bacterium
Lineage: Bacteria
Description: partial 16S ribosomal RNA
Rfam family: Bacterial small subunit ribosomal RNA
Source: RNAcentral
UACGUAGGGGGCAAGCGUUAUCCGGAUUUACUGGGUGUAAAGGGCGUGCAGCCGGGCUGACAAGUCAGAUGUGAAAUCCCGCGGCUCAACCGCGGAACUGCACUUGAAACUGUCAGUCUUGAGUACCGGAGAGGUCAUCGGAAUUCCUUGUGUAGCGGUGAAAUGCGUAGAUAUAAGGAAGAACACCAGUGGCGAAGGCGGAUGACUGGACGGCAACUGACGGUGAGGCGCGAAAGCGUGGGGAGCAAACAGG